AAGUCGUAACAAGGUUUCCGUAGGUGAACCUGCGGAAGGAUCAUUAAUAAAUGCUUCAUUGCAUCCACCUUUUGUGCACCGUAAAUUUUUCACUUGAAUUUUGUCUGAUUAAUCUUUGUUCUGAAAGGAACAUGAAUUAUAAUCUUAUACAACUUUUAACAAUGGAUCUCUUGGCUCUC
Molecule: unclassified non-coding RNA, 179 nt
Filed under: fungal sp.
Lineage: Eukaryota; Fungi
Description: partial internal transcribed spacer region
Rfam family: Eukaryotic small subunit ribosomal RNA (bases 1-46)
Source: RNAcentral